RNAcentral lists this ribosomal RNA (1343 nucleotides) under uncultured bacterium. RNAcentral's name for it is "16S ribosomal RNA". It matches the Rfam family "Bacterial small subunit ribosomal RNA", at positions 28 to 1378 of the family's 1533-position model. The record is from RNAcentral.
GACGAACGCUGGCGGCGUGCUUAACACAUGCAAGUCGAACGGAAAGGCCCUGCUUUUGUGGGGUGCUCGAGUGGCGAACGGGUGAGUAACACGUGAGUAACCUGCCCUUGACUUUGGGAUAACUUCAGGAAACUGGGGCUAAUACCGGAUAGGAGCUCCUGCUGCAUGGUGGGGGUUGGAAAGUUUCGGCGGUUGGGGAUGGACUCGCGGCUUAUCAGCUUGUUGGUGGGGUAGUGGCUUACCAAGGCUUUGACGGGUAGCCGGCCUGAGAGGGUGACCGGCCACAUUGGGACUGAGAUACGGCCCAGACUCCUACGGGAGGCAGCAGUGGGGAAUAUUGCACAAUGGGCGGAAGCCUGAUGCAGCAACGCCGCGUGCGGGAUGACGGCCUUCGGGUUGUAAACCGCUUUCGCCUGUGACGAAGCGUGAGUGACGGUAAUGGGUAAAGAAGCACCGGCUAACUACGUGCCAGCAGCCGCGGUGAUACGUAGGGUGCGAGCGUUGUCCGGAUUUAUUGGGCGUAAAGGGCUCGUAGGUGGUUGAUCGCGUCGGAAGUGUAAUCUUGGGGCUUAACCCUGAGCGUGCUUUCGAUACGGGUUGACUUGAGGAAGGUAGGGGAGAAUGGAAUUCCUGGUGGAGCGGUGGAAUGCGCAGAUAUCAGGAGGAACACCAGUGGCGAAGGCGGUUCUCUGGGCCUUUCCUGACGCUGAGGAGCGAAAGCGUGGGGAGCGAACAGGCUUAGAUACCCUGGUAGUCCACGCUGUAAACGGUGGGUACUAGGUGUGGGGUCCAUUCCACGGGUUCCGUGCCGUAGCUAACGCUUUAAGUACCCCGCCUGGGGAGUACGGCCGCAAGGCUAAAACUCAAAGGAAUUGACGGGGCCCCGCACAAGCGGCGGAGCAUGCGGAUUAAUUCGAUGCAACGCGUAGAACCUUACCUGGGUUUGACAUGGAUCGGGAGUGCUCAGAGAUGGGUGUGCCUCUUUUGGGGUCGGUUCACAGGUGGUGCAUGGCUGUCGCCAGCUCGUGUCGUGAGAUGUUGGGUUAAGUCCCGCAACGAGCGCAACCCUUGUUCACUGUUGCCAGCACGUUAUGGUGGGGACUCAGUGGAGACCGCCGGGGUCAACUCGGAGGAAGGUGGGGAUGACGUCAAGUCAUCAUGCCCCUUAUGUCCAGGGCUUCACGCAUGCUACAAUGGCUGGUACAGAGAGUGGCGAGCCUGCGAGGGUGAGCGAAUCUCGGAAAGCCGGUCUCAGUUCGGAUUGGGGUCUGCAACUCGACCUCAUGAAGUCGGAGUCGCUAGUAAUCGCAGAUCAGCAACGCUGCGGUGAAAACGUUCCCGGG